This is an RNA transcript of Galeopterus variegatus (Sunda flying lemur), 1426 nucleotides long. It is a transcript of the gene named ribonuclease, RNase A family, 4, with no coding region annotated. The record is from RefSeq and is a predicted model, not a curated record. The transcript is spliced from 3 exons. Lineage: Eukaryota; Metazoa; Chordata; Mammalia; Dermoptera; Cynocephalidae.
GGCGCGGUCCCUACCACACCGAGGCAGGAACGUCGACUCCCCUCUCACUGCACACACACACACACGCCGACCCCGCGCAGAUCCAGAGCAAGAUUCAAAGGAACAUCUUUACGUCCUCUACCAGCUCCCCCGCAUCGUACUAAGGAGGAAGAGCGGUGAGAAAACUUUUCUCCACUGUCCUUCGCGUUUCUGCCGCCUUGUCCCGAGGCCUAGGCACCUCACAGGUAGUGAUGGCUCUACAUAAGACACAGACAUUGCUUCUGUUCUUGCUGCUGACCCUUUUGGGGCUGGGGCUGGUGCAGCCCUCCUAUGGCCAGGAUCGCAUGUACCAACGAUUCCUGCAGCAACACGUGGACCCUGAUGAGACAGGUGGUGAUGAUAUCUACUGCAACGUGAUGAUGCAAAGACGGAAGAUGACUUUGCGUCAGUGCAAGCGCUUUAACACCUUCAUCCAUGAGGAUAUCUGGAACAUUCGUAGUAUCUGCAGCACCGACAAUAUCCAAUGCAAGAAUGGCAGGAUGAACUGCCAUGAGGGGGUAGUGAAGGUCACAGACUGCAGGGAGACAGGAAGUUCCAAGCCUCCCAACUGUAGAUAUCGGGCCAUGGCAAGAACUCGGCGUGUUGUCAUCGCCUGUGAGGGGGACCCAGAGGUGCCUGUACACUUUGACAGAUAGAUGCACCCUUGCAGGGGUUAUGGCCGGUGGCUGGCCUUUAACUUACUCCUUGAGUACAAUGAGUAAUGCUUUUGAGCUGUCCCAGACUCUGUCUCCUCUGCUUAUUUCUUAUUCUUUUUUUUUUUUUUUUUUUUUUUUUUUUUUUUUUUUUUGUAUAACCCAUUUUAUUAAGUACAUUGCAUCAGAGAGUAAAGGAGACAUAAACCUAUGAGUCUGGGCUUUUCUGCACUAAGCUUCCUUCCAUAAUACUGGUCAGCUUAGCUCUCUCAGAUCUUAUCCUCUGGAAUUUAGUCAUUAUAUGUAUUUUAUAGCGUUUCAAGCAUUUCAGAGUGCUUUCAUUUAAGUUAUCUCAUUUUAAUACCACAGCAGCCCUGUAACGCUGAUGAUGCUGAAAUAUAUACAUAAACUUAAGGGAUUUGCUGAAGACAAUAAAGUCAGUGAAAAAUCUGAGACAAAAAUUUAGUUUAACUGGCUUCUCGUCCAGGGUCUUUUCUACUUCAUCAAGAGCAGUGUUUUGAAAGUGUCUGCUUUUUUUUUUUUUUAAUCCCUGAAAGCCAGCUGUUGGGGAAGCAAUAAAAAUUUGGAAAUAUAUACUGGCAAAAUGAGAGUUCUGUGUUAUUUGGCAUUGUUAUGUUUGAGUCUGAUAAAAAAAAAAUAGUAAGAAUUUUCUCUUUCUCUUCCAAACUUUUGAAUCACCCUUUUAAGUGAGGGUAUUAAAAAUGUGCUAGAUCGUUAAAACUCAUUUACUCUUC